UAGAAAUGUGCUUGAAUAUACAGGUUGUUCACGAGGCCCGGCUUAAAUCUGAUUAGAGUUUAGAUCAGACCCAUUGUGGUUGAGCCUGAUCUGACCCGACUGAUUAGCGUUAAGUAAACCAACCCAACAUAUUUUUUUAAAUUACAAUUUUAUUACGAGCUUUAGUUUUUAGACCACCACUUAAGCAAGCAAUGUACCUUCUCCUGUUCUUAGCGUUUGUUUAAUGUCUUUCACCUCCAUCUUGUCACUUGUUGUAACCAUAGACAUAAUAAUGAGUACAGCCCACAAUGGCUACUCGGGCGCAGGGAAUACAGCGGACAUCUUGGAGAGGUCGUCCUUCUCAUUUGGUUACACCAAAAGAGCAGAAGAUUGCAUACUACCCGACAAAGUCUCUGUCACCAGAAACACAGAGGGUCCUUCUCAGUCGUGCUUUUGGAGGAGCUGCACACACGAGGAAUUCGGGUGGCAUGUUUAACAAUGGAUGGGUAUGCCUCUAACAUCAGCGUGUGCAACCAACUUCUAAGCCAGUUUCCCACAUUCAGUGACUGGGGGGAACAUUUCUGUAGUGAUGGAUGCUUACCGCAUGCUAAAGUUGACACAUAAGAUGUUGCAGGUAAAAGAUGAUUGCUGUAUAUCUAUUUCUGCAAGUUAUCUAUUUGUGUGUCUGUUCAUGUGCACAGAUAUGGCUGGAUGCGAUGGUCAACGUUUAGCUGUUUAUACUUAUUUGAGCUGUGGACUUAUUCUUACUCUGCAGGCAUAUAGUCUGAUAGCAACUACCACUUCUACUUCUCUAUUUACACUAUAAUAAGUUUUUUAACAACUUUAUAUAGUGCACUGUACAAAAAUAGAAACACCCCAUGUCAAAUAUUGUUGCCACGUGUACUUAACUGUAAAUGAGCAGUUGCUGACAUUUUAUUGUACUAAAGUAAAAUUGCUCUUGAUUUGUGUAUAAUUUUUUAUGCAACUUGCUGUCAGUGAGCAUUACUCAUGAGUUCAGACAAAACAAGCAACAACUGGACAAUUCUUGGACAACAAAAGGCCACCCCAAAAUGUCAAAUUUUGUCACAAGUCAUAAUGCCUCGGAUGUCGCAAGUUAUGCAGGAGCGUGCCAUUGGCAUGUUGGAUGCAGAGAUGUCCACUAGAGCAGUAGCUGCACGGCUCAAUCUCCAUUAUCGGACCAUGGGCCUUUUCAGAGUUUGUUUCCAACAGACUGACACUACUGCAAAUUGACCUCAUCCUCGUCGGCCACUCCAGCACAAGAUCGCCUCAUCCAGCUCGUCCAUCUGCGGCAUACACAGCUGAUGAGACAAUUGGUCUGCACAACAGACACCUCAGAUUGUCCGUAACCGCCUACGAGAAGCCAACAUGCAUGCUCUGCAAAUUCCUCAACCUGACCCCUAUCAUGUUCAAAGGACUGUCAAUCCGUUACAAAUGGCCAAACCAUGAUGUCAUUGAUGCCAAUAUGAAGAUCAGUAAUUAGUCAAAAUAUAUUGAGUUUUUCUAUAUAUUGCGUAACCCAAAUGUUAAUAAAACUCUUAUAUUUGA
Long non-coding RNA from Xiphophorus hellerii (green swordtail), 1545 nucleotides. RefSeq lists it as uncharacterized. NCBI's taxonomy places the organism in Eukaryota, Metazoa, Chordata, Actinopteri, Cyprinodontiformes, Poeciliidae. The record is from RefSeq and is a predicted model, not a curated record. The transcript is spliced from 2 exons.